GUGAGUGACAGCCGCGAGCUCAACAAGAGACAAAAGACAGUCAUUAGCACCUUAGAGGAGGCUUUGCCCAGCUCAUCUAGAACCGUGCUGAUCUGAAGAAGAGGAUCUGGCCUGGAGAACAAAAACAAGGUCAUUUUUACUUGAACUGAACUGAACUGGGAUGUUUUGGGAAACCAAAUUUCAGAGAAUGUGCCCAAGCUGCAGCAGUUUCCCGAUUUGGUGGGAGGAACAGACGCUGCCAGGUAGCUGAUGUCAACGUCUGACAACCAGUGGAUUGGAUGGAAGGAAGAGAUGUUGCCAGCUACUGGCUGAUCUCCAAUAAUUGACUACCAAUGGGUUGGAUUCCCGCUGGACGGUUAAUGGCGACACUUGAUAACUAGUGGGUUAUCAACUAAGGGUGUGAAGCCAAUACGGCCGUGGUCUCCAGCCCUUGAAGCUACAUAAGGUUGAAGUGAUAGCAGAGCGACUUGCCAAUGAUGGGUGAACUUCUUCUUUGAAAGCACAGAUCUGUCUCUCCGACAGAGGUUUAUGCCAUACCAGAAGAGUCACGGAGACCGUUGUCAAGCUUUGUAGUAUUGUGUAACUUGCACCCGUUCCAGUGUCAUUUGUAUAUCAUUCCCAGUUUGAGAGAGACUUUUCUUUUGCAUUUAAUAAAAAUCACUAUAACGGCUGAAUAAA
Puntigrus tetrazona (Sumatra barb) is the source of this 678-nucleotide long non-coding RNA. RefSeq lists it as uncharacterized. The transcript has 8 exons. The record is from RefSeq and is a predicted model, not a curated record. NCBI's taxonomy places the organism in Eukaryota, Metazoa, Chordata, Actinopteri, Cypriniformes, Cyprinidae.